This 469-nucleotide ribosomal RNA is filed under the name uncultured bacterium. RNAcentral describes it as "partial 16S ribosomal RNA". It matches the Rfam family "Bacterial small subunit ribosomal RNA", at positions 28 to 507 of the family's 1533-position model. The record is from RNAcentral.
GACGAACGCUGGCGGCGUGCUUAACACAUGCAAGUCGAACGGAAAGGCCCUGCUUGCAGGGUGCUCGAGUGGCGAACGGGUGAGUAACACGUGGGUGAUCUGCCCCUUACUUUGGGAUAAGCCUGGGAAACUGGGUCUAAUACUGGAUAGGACCAUGCUGUAGGUGGUGUGGUGGAAAGAUUAGUUUCGGUAAGGGAUGAGCUCGCGGCCUAUCAGCUUGUUGGUGGGGUAAUGGCCUACCAAGGCGUCGACGGGUAGCCGGCCUGAGAGGGUGGACGGCCACAUUGGGACUGAGAUACGGCCCAGACUCCUACGGGAGGCAGCAGUGGGGAAUAUUGCACAAUGGGCGCAAGCCUGAUGCAGCGAUGCCGCGUGGGGGAUGACGGCCUUCGGGUUGUAAACUCCUUUCAGCCAUGACGAAGCCCUUGUGGUAACGGUAGUGGUAGAAGAAGCACCGGCUAACUACGUG